AUACCAUGAUGAGGGCAAGCUUCAGUCAACUCAUUUAAUCUUUCCCAAGCUUCAGCAAUUGAGUCC
Non-coding RNA from Lupinus angustifolius (narrow-leaved blue lupine), 66 nucleotides. The record is from Rfam. Lineage: Eukaryota; Viridiplantae; Streptophyta; Magnoliopsida; Fabales; Fabaceae.